This 253-nucleotide ribosomal RNA is filed under the name uncultured bacterium. Its description in RNAcentral is "partial 16S ribosomal RNA". It matches the Rfam family "Bacterial small subunit ribosomal RNA", at positions 524 to 776 of the family's 1533-position model. The record is from RNAcentral.
UACGAAGGGGGCUAGCGUUGCUCGGAAUCACUGGGCGUAAAGGGUGCGUAGGCGGGUCUUUAAGUCAGGGGUGAAAUCCUGGAGCUCAACUCCAGAACUGCCUUUGAUACUGAAGAUCUUGAGUUCGGGAGAGGUGAGUGGAACUGCGAGUGUAGAGGUGAAAUUCGUAGAUAUUCGCAAGAACACCGGUGGCGAAGGCGGCUCACUGGCUCAUUACUGACGCUCAUGCGCGACAGCGUGGGGAUCAAACAGG